AGUCGUAACAAGGUUUCCGUAGGUGAACCUGCGGAAGGAUCAUUACAGUAUUCUUUUGCCAGCGCUUAACUGCGCGGCGAAAAACCUUACACACAGUGUCUUUUUGAUACAGAACUCUUGCUUUGGUUUGGCCUAGAGAUAGGUUGGGCCAGAGGUUUAACAAAACACAAUUUAAUUAUUUUUACAGUUAGUCAAAUUUUGAAUUAAUCUUCAAAACUUUCAACAACGGAUCUCUUGGUUCUCGCAUCGAUGAAGAACGCAGCGAAAUGCGAUAAGUAAUAUGAAUUGCAGAUUUUCGUGAAUCAUCGAAUCUUUGAACGCACAUUGCGCCCUCUGGUAUUCCAGAGGGCAUGCCUGUUUGAGCGUCAUUUCUCUCUCAAACCCCCGGGUUUGGUAUUGAGUGAUACUCUUAGUCGGACUAGGCGUUUGCUUGAAAAGUAUUGGCAUGGGUAGUACUGGAUAGUGCUGUCGACCUCUCAAUGUAUUAGGUUUAUCCAACUCGUUGAAUGGUGUGGCGGGAUAUUUCUGGUAUUGUUGGCCCGGCCUUACAACAACCAAACAAGUUUGACCUCAAAUCAGGUAGGAAUACCCGCUGAACCUAAGCAUAUCA
This 610-nucleotide unclassified non-coding RNA is filed under the name Meyerozyma guilliermondii. RNAcentral describes it as "sequence contains 18S rRNA gene, ITS1, 5.8S rRNA gene, ITS2, 28S rRNA gene". The stretch from base 215 to 368 matches the Rfam family "5.8S ribosomal RNA". The record is from RNAcentral. Lineage: Eukaryota; Fungi; Ascomycota; Pichiomycetes; Serinales; Debaryomycetaceae.